GACGAAGGAUGCAAGCGUUAUCCGGAUUCAUUGGGUUUAAAGGGAGCGUAGGUGGUCUUCUAAGUCAGUGGUGAAAUCUCUCGGCUUAACUGAGAAAUUGCCAUUGAUACUGGGAGACUUGAGUGUAGUUGCCGUUGGCGGAAUAUGACAUGUAGUGGUGAAAUACAUAGAGAUGUCAUAGAACACCGAUUGCGAAGGCAGCUAACGAAACUAUAACUGACACUGAGGCUCGAAAGUGCGGGGAUCAAACAGG
This 253-nucleotide ribosomal RNA is filed under the name uncultured bacterium. Its description in RNAcentral is "partial 16S ribosomal RNA". It matches the Rfam family "Bacterial small subunit ribosomal RNA", at positions 524 to 776 of the family's 1533-position model. The record is from RNAcentral.